This 481-nucleotide ribosomal RNA is filed under the name uncultured bacterium. RNAcentral's name for it is "partial 16S ribosomal RNA". It matches the Rfam family "Bacterial small subunit ribosomal RNA", at positions 28 to 507 of the family's 1533-position model. The record is from RNAcentral.
GAUGAACGCUGGCGGCGUGCUUAACACAUGCAAGUCGAACGAAGCAUUUGCGACAGAUUUUUUCGGAAUGAAGUUGCUUAUGACUGAGUGGCGGACGGGUGAGUAACGCGUGGGUAACCUGCCUUGUACUGGGGGAUAGCAGCUGGAAACGGCUGGUAAUACCUCAUAAGCGCACAAUGUUGCAUGACAUGGUGUGGAACACUCCGGUGGUAUAAGAUGGACCCGCGUCUGAUUAGCUAGUUGGUGAGAUAACAGCCCACCAAGGCGACGAUCAGUAGUCGACCUAAGACGGUGACCGGCCACAUUGGGACUUAGACACGACCCAGACUCCUACGAGAAGCAGCAGUAGGGAAUAUUGCACAAUGGAGGAAACUCUGAUGCAGCGACGCCGCGUGAGUGAAGAAAUAAUUCGUUAUAUAAAACUCUAUCAGCAGGGAAGAUAGUGACGGUACCUGACUAAGAAGCUCCGGCUAAAUACGUG